GACGAACGCUGGCGGCGUGCUUAACACAUGCAAGUCGAGCGGAAAGGCCCUUCGGGGUACUCGAGCGGCGAACGGGUGAGUAACACGUGAGUAACCUGCCCCAGACUUUGGGAUAACCCUCGGAAACGGGGGCUAAUACCGGAUACGACACAGCUUCGCAUGGGGUCUGUGUGGAAAGUUUUUCGGUUUGGGAUGGGCUCGCGGCCUAUCAGCUUGUUGGUGGGGUGAUGGCCUACCAAGGCGACGACGGGUAGCCGGCCUGGGAGGGCGACCGGCCACACUGGUACUGAGAGACGGCCCAGACUCCUACGGGAGGCAGCAGUGGGGAAUAUUGCACAAUGGGCGGAAGCCUGAUGCAGCGACGCCGCGUGAGGGAUGACGUCCUUCGGGUUGUAAACCUCUUUCAGCAGGGACGAAGCGUAAGUGACGGUACCUGCAGAAGAAGCGCCGGCCAACUACGUG
RNAcentral lists this ribosomal RNA (462 nucleotides) under uncultured bacterium. Its description in RNAcentral is "partial 16S ribosomal RNA". It matches the Rfam family "Bacterial small subunit ribosomal RNA", at positions 28 to 507 of the family's 1533-position model. The record is from RNAcentral.